UACGUAGGGGGGCUAGCGUUGUCCGGAAUCAUUGGGGCGUAAAGAGCGUGUAGGCGGCCCGGUAAGUCCGCUGUGAAAGUCGGGGGCUCAACCCUCGAAUGCCGGUGGAUACUGUCGGGCUAGAGUGCGGAAGAGGCGAGUGGAAUUCCUGGUGUAGCGGUGAAAUGCGCAGAUAUCAGGAGGAACACCAAUUGCGAAGGCAGCUCGCUGGGACGUAACUGACGCUGAGACGCGAAAGCGUGGGGAGCAAACAGG
This 255-nucleotide ribosomal RNA is filed under the name uncultured bacterium. Its description in RNAcentral is "partial 16S ribosomal RNA". It matches the Rfam family "Bacterial small subunit ribosomal RNA", at positions 524 to 776 of the family's 1533-position model. The record is from RNAcentral.